GGGAAACCCGAGUACCGAGUUGACGAAGUUGUUCACAGGACUGAUCACGCUUCACUGAAAAUUCUCUACGAUGCCCAGUGGUUAUGGCAAAUUUCCAGGGGCCACGAGUCUUGGCUGUUCCUUCCAGCAGAGAACAAAACUAGUCCACAAGGUAUUUGCCUCGAAGCUCCCAUGACCGAGAGAAAUUUCCAAAUGGCAGCAUUUCUGGUUUCCUUCAUCCACUCAUUCCGAGUAUUUACUAGGGGAUGGGAUGUGCCAACACAGUGAUGAGCAGAACAGAUGAGGACUGAAUGAUCAGGUGCAGGCAUCACUGGCAGCAGCGUAAGCCAACAUCCGAAGGCCUCGUCCCAGAAAACAGGGAGGAUUCAUUUCAAGCUCUAAGACCGACUGAAGCCUGGCACUCCCUGACAAAUGCAUUCCAGCUGGUUUCAAUCCACACGAGACACCAGUGUGUGUGUGUGUGUGUGUGUUGUGUGUGUGCGCGUGUGUGCGUGUGUGUGUGCGCGCGCGCGCGUGUGUACGUGUGUUUAUGUAUCAGCAUAGUAAAGAAAAGGCACUUGGGAAGCUGCAGACUUCCAUCUCAUCUCUCUUUUGCUCCGCAGCUCUCUCCCAGAGAGGAAGACGCAUUAAAUGUCAGAGAAGACGUUAACUCUGGGCGGUCCAAGGAGAUGAGAUAA
This 677-nucleotide long non-coding RNA is filed under the name Sus scrofa (pig). Its description in RNAcentral is "lncRNA (ENSSSCG00025066292.1)". The record is from RNAcentral. Lineage: Eukaryota; Metazoa; Chordata; Mammalia; Artiodactyla; Suidae.